GAAAAAGGAUCAAAGACUAAGAACGCCGCGUCCUGCGGCGACGUUUUUGUGACCUGCUUCGUGCAGG
RNAcentral lists this small RNA (67 nucleotides) under Domibacillus iocasae. RNAcentral's name for it is "Bacillaceae-1 RNA". It matches the Rfam family "Bacillaceae-1 RNA". Lineage: Bacteria; Bacillati; Bacillota; Bacilli; Caryophanales; Bacillaceae. The record is from Rfam by way of RNAcentral.